Molecule: ribosomal RNA, 447 nt
Filed under: uncultured bacterium
Lineage: Bacteria
Description: bacterial SSU rRNA
Rfam family: Bacterial small subunit ribosomal RNA
Source: RNAcentral
UGGGGAAUCUUGGACAAUGGGCGCAAGCCUGAUCCAGCCAUGCCGCGUGAGUGACGAAGGCCUUAGGGUUGUAAAGCUCUUUUGGCGGGGACGAUAAUGACGGUACCCGCAGAAUAAGCCCCGGCUAACUUCGUGCCAGCAGCCGCGGUAAUACGAAGGGGGCUAGCGUUGUUCGGAAUUACUGGGCGUAAAGCGCACGUAGGCGGAUUUGUCAGUCAGGGGUGAAAUCCCGAGGCUCAACCUCGGAACUGCCUCCGAUACAGCAAGUCUCGAGUCCGGAAGAGGUGAGUGGAAUUCCUAGUGUAGAGGUGAAAUUCGUAGAUAUUAGGAAGAACACCAGUGGCGAAGGCGGCUCACUGGUCCGGUACUGACGCUGAGGUGCGAAAGCGUGGGGAGCAAACAGGAUUAGAUACCCCUGUAGUCCCUGAGCGGGCUGGCAAGGCGCAU